This 315-nucleotide ribosomal RNA is filed under the name uncultured eukaryote. RNAcentral's name for it is "partial 18S ribosomal RNA". It matches the Rfam family "Eukaryotic small subunit ribosomal RNA", at positions 1470 to 1796 of the family's 1831-position model. The record is from RNAcentral.
CCCUUAGAUGUUCUGGGCCGCACGCGCGCUACAAUGAUGAAUUCAACGAGUUUAUAACCUUGGUUGAAAAGCCUGGGUAAUCUUUUGAACUUUCGUCGUGAUGGGGCUAGACCCUUGCAAUUCUUGGUCUCCAACGAGGAAUUCCUAGUAAACGCAAGUCAUUAACUUGCAUUGAUUACGUCCCUGCCCUUUGUACACACCGCCCGUCGCACCUACCGAUUGAAUGGUCCGGUGAAAUUUUCGGACUGGCGGGCCUCGAGCCCUGCCGGAAAGUUAAUUAAACCUUACCAUUUAGAGGAAGGUGAAGUCGUAACA